GGACAUGGCCUCAAACAUCUAUACCCAACAAGCAACCCAAAGCUAUGGGGCCUACCCAACUCAGCCUGAGCAGGGCUACUCCCAGCAGAGCAAUCAGCCUUAUGGGCAGCAGAGUUAUGGUGGCUACGGCCAGUCUGCAGACACUUUGGGCUAUGGCCAGAGCAGCUACCAUAGUUCGUACGGACAGACCCAGAACAGCUAUGGCACACAGUCAGCUCCCCAGGGAUAUGGCUCAGCUGGUGGCUAUGGCAGUAGCCAGAGUUCUCAGUCGUCUUAGAGGCAACAGUCUUCGUACCCUGGCUAUGGCCAGCAGCCAGCUCCUAGCAGCACCUCAGGAAGUUAUGGUAGCAGUUCUCAAAGCAGUGGCUAUGGGCAGUCCCAGGGUGGAGGCUGUGGCCAGCAGUCUGGCUAUGGUGGGCAGCAGCAAGGCUAUGGGCAGCAGCAGAGCUAUAACCCGCCUCAGGGCUACGGGCAGCAGAACCAGUGCAGCAGUGGCAGCGGCGGCGGAGGGGGUGGCGGAGGGAGCUACGGCCAAGAUCAGCCCUCCAUGAGCAGUGGUGGCGGCGGCGGUGGUUAUGGCAACCAGGACCAGGGUGGUGGCUAUGGGGGAGGCCAGCAGGACCAUGGGGGCCGUGGCCGGGGUGGUGGUGCUGGUUACAACCGCAGCAGCGGUGGCUAUGAACCCAGAGGUCGUGGAGGUGGCCGUGGAGGCAGCGGCGGCAUGGGCAGAAGUGACCGUGGUGGCUUCAAUAAAUUUGGUGGCCCUCGGGACCAAGGAUCAUGUCAUGCCUCUGAACAGGAUAAUUCAGACAACAACACCGUCUUCGUGCAAAGGCUGGGCGAGCAUGUUACAAUUGAGUCUGUAGCUGAUUACUUCAAGCAGAUUGGUAUCAUUAACACAAAUAAGAAAACAGGACAGCCCAUGAUAAUCUGUACACAGACAAGGAAACAGGCAAGCUGAAGGGAGAGGCCACGGUAUCAUUUGAUGACUCACCUUCCGCCAAAGCAGCUAUUGACUGGUUUGAUGGUAAAGAGUUCUCUGGGAAUCCUAUCAAGGUCUCAUUCGCUACUCGGUGAGCAGACUUCAGUCGGGGUGGUGGCAAUGGUUGUGGAGGCCGAGGGCAAGGAGGACCUCUGGGCCGUGGAGGCUAUGGAGGUGGCGGCAGCGGCAGUGGUGGCCGAGGAGGAUUCCCCAGUGGCGGCGGCGGCGGCGGAGGACAGCAGCGAGCAGGGGACUGGAAGUGUCCUAAUCCUACCUGUGAGAACGUGAACUUCUCUUGGAGGAAUGAAUGUAACCAGUGUAAGGCCCCUAAACUAGAUGGCCCAGGAGGGGGUCCAGGAGGCUCUCAUAUGGGGGGUAACUAUGGAGAUGAUCGUCGUGGUGGCAGAGGAGGCUAUGAUCGGGGUGGCUACUGAGGCCGAGGGGGCGACUGUGGGGGCUUCAGAGGGGGCCGGGGUGGUGGGGACAGAGGUGGUUUCAGCCCUGGCAAGAUGGACUCCAGGGGUGAGCACAGACAGGAUCGCAGGGAGAGGCCGUACUACCCUGGCUCCUGA
This is an RNA transcript of Capra hircus (goat), 1554 nucleotides long. It is a transcript of the gene named RNA-binding protein FUS pseudogene, with no coding region annotated. Lineage: Eukaryota; Metazoa; Chordata; Mammalia; Artiodactyla; Bovidae. The transcript has a single exon. The record is from RefSeq and is a predicted model, not a curated record.